Non-coding RNA from Triticum aestivum (bread wheat), 241 nucleotides. NCBI's taxonomy places the organism in Eukaryota, Viridiplantae, Streptophyta, Magnoliopsida, Poales, Poaceae. The record is from Rfam.
AUAUUUUGGGCGUAAAGCGUCUUUAGGUGGCUUUUCAAGUCCAACGUCAAAUCCCAGGGCUCAACCUGGACACGUGGUGGAAACUACCAAGCUGGAGUAUGGUAUGGGCAGAGAAAAUCUCCUGUGAAGCGGUGAAGUGUAUUGAGAUCGGAUAGAACACCAACGAUGAAAGCACUCUGCUGGUCCUUUUGGGUUUCAUUGACCAAACAUAUACGCUUUGGGCUAUGGUUAGCUCAGCUCC